AUGAACGCUGGCGGUGUGCCUUAAGCAUGCAAGUCGAACGAAGAGAUGUUCCGCGAUGUGCGGGAUGUCAAUUAGUGGCGGACGGGUGAGUAUAAGUAGGGAACGCACCCAGAACUAUCGCAUAGCUCGUCGAAAGACGGGGUAAUACGGUAUGUGAUCGCAAGAUUAAAGUCGCAAGACGGUUCUGGAACGGCCCUAUUCCCAUCAGCUAGUUGGUAGGGUAAUGGCCUACCAAGGCGACGACGGGUAGGGGGUGUGAGAGCACGACCCCCCACAAUGGCACUGAGACACGGGCCAUACAUCUACGGAUGGCAGCAACUGGGAAUAUUCGGCAAUGGGCGAAAGCCUGACCGAGCGACACCGCGUGAGGGAUGAAGUAUUUCGGUAUGUAAACCUCUUUUAUAUAGUCGUCGAGGCUAUAAGAAUAAGCACCUACAAACUACGU
RNAcentral lists this ribosomal RNA (445 nucleotides) under uncultured bacterium. RNAcentral's name for it is "bacterial SSU rRNA". It matches the Rfam family "Bacterial small subunit ribosomal RNA", at positions 29 to 506 of the family's 1533-position model. The record is from RNAcentral.